This 495-nucleotide ribosomal RNA is filed under the name uncultured bacterium. RNAcentral describes it as "partial 16S ribosomal RNA". It matches the Rfam family "Bacterial small subunit ribosomal RNA", at positions 28 to 507 of the family's 1533-position model. The record is from RNAcentral.
GACGAACGCUGGCGGCGUGCCUAAUACAUGCAAGUAGAACGCUGAAGGAGGAGCUUGCUCUUCUGGAUGAGUUGCGAACGGGUGAGUAACGCGUAGGUAACCUGCCUGGUAGCGGGGGAUAACUAUUGGAAACGAUAGCUAAUACCGCAUAAAAUUGAUUAUUGCAUGAUAGUCAAUUAAAAGGUGCAAUUGCAUCACUACCAGAUGGACCUGCGUUGUAUUAGCUAGUUGGUGAGGUAACGGCUCACCAAGGCAACGAUACAUAGCCGACCUGAGAGGGUGAUCGGCCACACUGGGACUGAGACACGGCCCAGACUCCUACGGGAGGCAGCAGUAGGGAAUCUUCGGCAAUGGACGGAAGUCUGACCGAGCAACGCCGCGUGAGUGAAGAAGGUUGUCGGAUCGUAAAGCUCUGUUGUAAGAGAAGAACGGGUGUGAGAGUGGAAAGUUCACACUGUGACGGUAUCUUACCAGAAAGGGACGGCUAACUACGUG